Molecule: ribosomal RNA, 736 nt
Filed under: uncultured bacterium
Lineage: Bacteria
Description: bacterial SSU rRNA
Rfam family: Bacterial small subunit ribosomal RNA
Source: RNAcentral
GAGUUUGAACCUGGCUCAGGACGAACGCUGGCGGCGUGCUUAACACAUGCAAGUCGAACGGGCUCUAGCAAUAGAGCUAGUGGCGGACGGGUGAGUAACACGUGAGCAACCUGCCCUAUACAACGGGAUAACACUAAGAAAUUGGUGCUAAUACGGUAUAAGACCACGAUGAGGCAUCUCAUAGGGGUAAAAGCUGAGGCGGUAUAGGAGGGGCUCGCGGCCCAUUAGAUAGUUGGUGAGGUAACGGCCCACCAAGUCGACGAUGGGUAGCCGACCUGAGAGGGUGAUCGGCCACAUUGGAACUGAGAUACGGUCCAAACUCCUACGGGAGGCAGCAGUGGGGAAUAUUGGGCAAUGGAGGCAACUCUGACCCAGCAACGCCGCGUGAAUGAAGAAGGCCUUCGGGUUGUAAAGUUCUUUAAUUGGGGACGAAGAAAGUGACGGUACCCAAAGAAUAAGCCACGGCUAACUACGUGCCAGCAGCCGCGGUAAUACGUAGGUGGCAAGCGUUGUCCGGAAUGACUGGGCGUAAAGGGAGCGUAGGCGGCGCAGUAAGUUAGGAGUGAAAUCCCGGGGCUCAACCCCGGAACUGCUUUUAAAACUGCUGUGCUUGAGUGAUGGAGAGGAAAGCGGAAUUCCUAGUGUAGCGGUGGAAUGCGUAGAUAUUAGGAGGAACACCAGAGGCGAAGGCGGCUUUCUGGACAUUAACUGACGCUGAGGCUCGAAAGCGUGGGGA